RNAcentral lists this ribosomal RNA (464 nucleotides) under uncultured bacterium. RNAcentral describes it as "partial 16S ribosomal RNA". It matches the Rfam family "Bacterial small subunit ribosomal RNA", at positions 338 to 795 of the family's 1533-position model. The record is from RNAcentral.
CCUACGGGACGCAGCAGUAGGGAAUUUUCGUCAAUGGGGGAAACCCUGAACGAGCAAUGCCGAGUGAGUGAAGAAGGUCUUCGGAUCGUAAAGCCCUGUUGUAAGUGAAGAACGGCGCAUAGAGGAAAUGCUCUGGGAGUGACGGUAGCUUACCAGAAAGCAACGGCUAAAUACGUGCCAGCAGCCGCGGGAAUACGUAGGUGGCAAGCGUUCUCCGGAAUCAUUGGGCGUAAAGGGUGCGUAGGUGGCGUACUAAGUCUGUAGUAAAAGGCAAUGGCUCAACCAUUGUAAGCUAUGGAAACUGGUAUGCUGGAGUGCACAAGAGGUCGAUGGAAUUCCAUGUGUAGCGGUAAAAUGCGUAGAUAUAUGGAGGAACACCAGUGGCGAAGGCGGUCGCCUGGUCUGCAACUGACACUGAGGCACGAAAGCGUGGGGAGCAAAUAGGAUUAGAUACCCCUGUAGUC